Molecule: long non-coding RNA, 254 nt
Filed under: Bos taurus (domestic cattle)
Lineage: Eukaryota; Metazoa; Chordata; Mammalia; Artiodactyla; Bovidae
Description: long non-coding RNA NONBTAT014058
Source: RNAcentral
CUAAACUUCUCUACUGCCACCAUGUGACUGGGCCGGGGAGCCUGGAGGGCUUCUAUUGGGCAGUUGCCCCCAUGUCACUGUCCUAACCAUGGCCUUUCCCCAACAGCGUCAUCCCUCCCAGUAAGAAGUGGUUCUCAUCCUAAAACCUCUGUUUCCUGGCUGUGUGAACUGUCCUUCACAGGAAACAACACAGAUUAGUUUCAAGGACAUGGUAGGGUUGGUGUUGGUGGAAGCUGCAUUUUUGUACCCUAAAA